Molecule: ribosomal RNA, 200 nt
Filed under: uncultured organism
Description: partial small subunit ribosomal RNA
Rfam family: Bacterial small subunit ribosomal RNA
Source: RNAcentral
ACGUCAAGUCCUCAUGGCCCUUAUGGGCUGGGCUACACACGUGCUACAAUGGCGGUGACAAUGGGCAGCGAUCCAGCAAUGGUGAGCUAAUCUCCAAAAGCCGUCUCAGUUCGGAUUGUCCUCUGCAACUCGAGGGCAUGAAGGUGGAAUCGCUAGUAAUCGUGGAUCAGCAUGCCACGGUGAAUACGUUCCCGGGCCUU